ACACGCAUGUAGCGAAUAGAUAGAUAUUGUUUAAUACUAGUUUUUUAAGCAGUUUUAUUCGAUUGAAUGAAAAAUGAUCAAAGGCCCGUUCUGUUUCACGUUGUAUUAGGUUUUUGACCAUUCUUCUAAAAAUAGAACCGAAGAGUUCCGAAUGAAUGUAAACAAAACAUUCAAUUAUUCCCAUGGAUUAUUUAUAUUUGAAAAAUGUGUUAAAUAUUGUCAUUAUUGCACCUUUUUUUCGUGUAUGCUUUUCUGAAAUAGUGAAACCUAAAUGUUACUGGUACAUUGGUGGCGAUUAUAAAGACAAUAUAGAUCUUAAAUCUGUAUUGAAAGACAACAGUAAUCAAACUUUUAUUACUUACGACAAAAAUAAUUCAACACGAUUUUAUUACAACCCAUGCUACAUGCUCAACAAUGUGAAUCCAUUUUGUAAUACAAGUGCGUUGUGCAAGGAAGACUUACUGAAUUCUAAAUUCGAAAAUAUCGGUGAUUUUUCUGAUGUAAGAGUAGAAAUAUUAAGUAAUGGUGACUACUACAGGAUCGAUUAUAAUGUGUUACAGACAUCAGUGAAAAAAGAUAGUACAAUAACUUUGAAAUGUAUGGACACUAAUAAACCACAAUUUCAAUAUAGAAGAUCUGAACUACAAGACAAAUACCUCUUUUCCAUGGCAUCAAAACGAUUCUGCAGAAGUAAAUUCAGCAUUGGUACUAUAAUAUGUGUUUCUUUUUUAUCCAUUGUACUCGUGUAUCUAGUCGUAGGUAUUCUAUACAAGAAAGCUGUAUUAGGAGUCUCUGGUGUACAGCUUAUACCAAAUGUCACAUUUUGGAAAACUUUGCCGGGUUUAAUAAAAGACGGGUACUUGUUCUUUAUAAGCCCAUGUAUUGGUAAUAGAAUCGAAUAUGAUGCUUAUGAGCGCAUUUAGAAUUAGGCAUAUGUUAGUUGUCACACUGUUAAAAUAUAAUGGUAAAUGACGGCAUUGAACAUUUGAAAUCCAGUGUGCAAUAUUAUAUAAUAAAUAAGAAGAUUACUUAUGGUUAAUCUACCUAACUAUAUAAUUACUGAAAUGAUUCUUUAUUUUAAAGUAUAAUGUGACAUUUAAUGAUAAUUACAAUCCUUAUAACAUAUUUUAUAAAUCCACUAUAUGUGUUCGAUCAGAAAUGAUGAAUCGUUAUGGUGAUUGAAAUUAGUUUAACAUGGACGAGACAGCAAAACUUUACAUUUGUAAAUAUACAAAUGGAUUUAAUAUAUUUACCAGCGGGUACCUGGUAUUAAAAAAAACUGUUUAAAUUUGGGACAUGUAUAUGUCUUUCGUGUUCGAUUAAAUAUAAUUAUUAUUGUAUGGAAUUUUUAUUGUCAAUUUGUACAUUGAUAUACUAUUUUAGAAGACUCUUUAUUAUAUUAUUUUAUCAUAUUUGGAAUGUGCUUAUUUAUUUUCAUGCUUUCAACUCUUUUUAUUUAUGAAAAAUUAAAACGCAGCAUUUAUUAUAACAACCUUUAUUUGUUAAUGUUAUUAUAAUUUUAUGAUUUUUUCGUCAAAUAAACUUAUGUCUUUGUACAAUGUUGUUGCUGUCAUUAUUGGCAAUAUGAUAGUAUUUCCCUAUUGCCCUAUGUAAGCUUUUGUAGUAGACCACUUUCACUGAUAUUUUGAGGCAAUGGUUAGAUUAGCAGAUUAGAAUGGUUUCCUUUAAUUUACUAGCAGUCCACAAAUUGAAAUUCUUUCGUCUAAUGUCAUUUUCAUCUUAAUUUUAUUUUUUUUAUAAUCAUUUCAACGGAAAUAACAGUUUUGCAUAAAGCAUUUGUAGUGAUAUAAUUUCAAAUCACAUUGCACUUCAAACUAUUUUGUUAAUGAUAUACAUUUUAACCAUCUUGAAUAUAUCGUAAAUCCCAUAUUCAUUGCAUAUUUAUUUAUGUAAACAAAACAUUGGUAAACCAUAGUUUUUGUAACAAAAUAAAAUACAGAAAAAUAAA
Long non-coding RNA from Mytilus californianus (California mussel), 1969 nucleotides. RefSeq lists it as uncharacterized. The transcript has 3 exons. The record is from RefSeq and is a predicted model, not a curated record. NCBI's taxonomy places the organism in Eukaryota, Metazoa, Mollusca, Bivalvia, Mytilida, Mytilidae.